UACGUAGGGGGCAAGCGUUAUCCGGAAUCAUUGGGCGUAAAGCGCGUGUAGGCGGUUCCGUAAGUCCGCUCUGAAAGCCCCAGGGCUCAACCCUGGGAGGCGGGUGGAUACUACGGAACUGGAGUACGGAAGAGGAGAUUGGAAUUCCUGGUGUAGCGGUGAAAUGCGCAGAUAUCAGGAGGAACACCAACAGCGAAGGCAGAUCUCUGGGACGUUACUGACGCUGAGGAGCGAAAGCAUGGGGAGCGAACAGG
This 254-nucleotide ribosomal RNA is filed under the name uncultured bacterium. RNAcentral's name for it is "partial 16S ribosomal RNA". It matches the Rfam family "Bacterial small subunit ribosomal RNA", at positions 524 to 776 of the family's 1533-position model. The record is from RNAcentral.